This 636-nucleotide long non-coding RNA is filed under the name Gallus gallus (chicken). RNAcentral's name for it is "long non-coding RNA NONGGAT003704". The record is from RNAcentral. Lineage: Eukaryota; Metazoa; Chordata; Aves; Galliformes; Phasianidae.
GACAUAUUUUGCACAGUAUCUUUUUGAGAAAGAUGCCUUAAAAAAGGUCUACAGUUAGACUCACCUUUUAACUUGCUGACUUCUGAAGCCUGCCUUUCCAGGCUGAAUGCAUACCUGAAUUCCCAGCCUGGGUGGGCAUGUGGACCCAGACCUCUGUGCACAGAGCUGGGAGUGCACGUCCGUUCUCCUGUAUAUGGAAGCAGGCAUCUGCACAGUGUGGGCAGAUCUCUGUGAAGAUGCUGAGCAGCUCUGCGUCCUUCCAGCCCAGUGCCCUGCCCAAAGCACAGCAGGUGGGAGAGGUGCCAGGAAAGUCACUUCUCACUGGCAGGUGCUCCUGGCUGUCAGCAGUGGGGCUUUGAGGAAGCUCUUCAGCGGAAGACCCGUGGUUAAUGAACUGAUGCGAGUGCACAAAGACAAGAAAAACAGAAAACUGAACCACUCCAUGUAGAGCGGACCAGAAUUCAGUGCCUUAAUAGGAUUGGGCACAUCCACUGUGAAUUAUUACACAGACGUACUUGCACGUUUUAUAAGAACAACUGAGAUGAUGCAAAUAGAACCACAGAACUUUCAAAUGUAAAAAUUAAAGGGCUGCAUCAUUUCUACUUUAAAAAGUCAACAGUUCCCUUUUCUAUCUGA